Molecule: ribosomal RNA, 449 nt
Filed under: uncultured bacterium
Lineage: Bacteria
Description: partial 16S ribosomal RNA
Rfam family: Bacterial small subunit ribosomal RNA
Source: RNAcentral
UCCAGACUCCUACGGGAGGCAGCAGUGGGGGAUAUUGCACAAUGGGGGAAACCCUGAUGCAGCGACGCCGCGUGAGUGAAGAAGUAUUUCGGUAUGUAAAGCUCUAUCAGCAGGGAAGAAAAAAGACGGUACCUGACUAAGAAGCCCCGGCUAACUACGUGCCAGCAGCCGCGGUAAUACGUAGGGGGCAAGCGUUAUCCGGAUUUACUGGGUGUAAAGGGAGCGUAGACGGCAAUACAAGUCGGAAGUGAAAUACCCGGGCUCAACCUGGGAACUGCUUUGGAAACUGUAUGGCUGGAGUGCUGGAGAGGUAAGCGGAAUUCCUAGUGUAGCGGUGAAAUGCGUAGAUAUUAGGAGGAACACCAGUGGCGAAGGCGGCUUACUGGACAGUAACUGACGUUGAGGCUCGAAAGCGUGGGGAGCAAACAGGAUUAGAUACCCCGGUAUAA